Molecule: non-coding RNA, 169 nt
Organism: Rhizobium etli
Lineage: Bacteria; Pseudomonadati; Pseudomonadota; Alphaproteobacteria; Hyphomicrobiales; Rhizobiaceae
Source: Rfam
GUGAGGGUGACCGAGCGUGGGGAGGAAGCGUGGAUCGAAACUGCGGGCCGAUGGACAAGAACCGGAUAUGAGGCGGUGCCGACCAGGGCGAGCGGGCAACGAACCGCGAAGCUCUUGUGACCAAGAGGCGGUGGCGUAAUCCCGCGGUCGUGCAGGGAAAGGAGUGCGU